Long non-coding RNA from Cynara cardunculus var. scolymus (artichoke), 1113 nucleotides. RefSeq lists it as uncharacterized. The record is from RefSeq and is a predicted model, not a curated record. NCBI's taxonomy places the organism in Eukaryota, Viridiplantae, Streptophyta, Magnoliopsida, Asterales, Asteraceae. The transcript is spliced from 4 exons.
UCCGGUGGAAUCGCAGAUUGAAUUGGACAAUGAGAAGAGAAGGAGUUCAAUGACUGGAAUCUCUCUACCGGGGGCGAUGAUCACUUACAGGAUUUGUGUUCAAACUGAUUCAUCUUCAGUUCCCAAAGCUACCUACGACAACACGGAUUUUGAAUCGAAGCAAUAGAUAUAUGCGUGCUUCGGUUUCGCUGUUUGAUAUAGUUCAGGCAUUCAAGGAUGUAACAGAUCGAAGAAUUUUGGGAGUUAAAGUUUGAAUGGGCCAAAAUGCAUAAGUGGAAUAGGACAUCUAUUGAUACCGAUGUCUUUAAAGAAAAAACGUUGGUCCCUCCAGUGGUCUCAAGAUGCAAAUCGACACUCACAGAUGGAAGCUUUUUUGUUUUCUGCGAGUACCCUACAUGAGCUCUCGUUUCUGAGCGGAGUACAACCACCUCUAGCCAUGGUACAACACGUUAAUGCACGGAGGACGCUGAAAACGAGAUUUUGCAGUUAUACGUGGAACAUUACAGAAUAAAAACUUUUGGUGCCACAUUUGUACUGGGAUAACCAAAAUAGGUGGAACAAGAAAAUGGGGGAGAUGAGACAAUAUUGGUAAAUUACUAAACUACCCAUAUCAAGUUAGAACCUAAAACCAUGUAUAAUUUUUCCAUCCGUCUACCAUAUUCUUGCCUGUCCAAACCUUUCUGUGUACACUAUGUGUUUGGUAUGCGGAACAUGACCGAAUUGUUGUCUUAUGUUUGGUGCAAUAUUUAGAUUGGGACAAGACAAUACUGAGAGGGAUAACCACCAAUCUACCAUAACAGGUGGAAGAAAAAUACAGGGAGUUGGAGACAAGAUUGGUAAAUUACUAAACUAGCAAUAUCAAAUCAGAACCCUAAAACCUUGCAUAAUUCUUUCACCAUUCUACCUCAUUCUUGUCUGUCGUCUCCGUCUGGUUCAGAUCGUACCAAUUAUGCUAGAAAACAAUUGUUUUGAUGGUUAGGGAAAUAGUUUAAUUGGGUUCUCGUUAAGAAUUGUUUCUUGUACGCUUACUGAUCAUAAGUGCUUAAAUUUGUAAAUUUCCAACCGUGUGUGGGACCGUCUUAUGGAAAAAUUGGUUUUCGGGUUUGGUUUCAA